GCACAAGCGGUGGAGUAUGUGGUUUAAUUCGAUGCAACGCGAAGAACCUUACCUGGUCUUGACAUCCCGGAGACCCUUAGGAAACUAGGGGGUGCUUCCAUCUGGAAGAAUCUGGAGACAGGUGCUGCAUGGCUGUCGUCAGCUCGUGUCGUGAGAUGUUGGGUUAAGUCCCGCAACGAGCGCAACCCUUGCCUUUAGUUGCCAGCAGUUCGGCUGGGCACUCUAAAGGGACUGCCGGUGUUAAACCGGAGGAAGGUGGGGAUGACGUCAAGUCCUCAUGGCCUUUAUGACCAGGGCUACACACGUACUACAAUGGUCGGUACAAAGGGUUGCCAAGCCGCGAGGUGGAGCUAAUCCCAUAAAACCGAUCGUAGUCCGGAUCGCAGUCUGCAACUCGACUGCGUGAAGUCGGAAUCGCUAGUAAUCGUGAAUCAGAAUGUCACGGUGAAUACGUUCCCGGGCCUU
Molecule: ribosomal RNA, 465 nt
Filed under: uncultured Desulfobulbus sp.
Lineage: Bacteria; Pseudomonadati; Thermodesulfobacteriota; Desulfobulbia; Desulfobulbales; Desulfobulbaceae
Description: bacterial SSU rRNA
Rfam family: Bacterial small subunit ribosomal RNA
Source: RNAcentral